GACGAACGCUGGCGGCGUGCUUAACACAUGCAAGUCGAACGGAAAGGCCCUGCUUUUGUGGGGUGCUCGAGUGGCGAACGGGUGAGUAACACGUGAGUAACCUGCCCUUGACUUUGGGAUAACUUCAGGAAACUGGGGCUAAUACCGGAUAGGAGCUCCUGCUGCAUGGUGGGGGUUGGAAAGUUUCGGCGGUUGGGGAUGGACUCGCGGCUUAUCAGCUUGUCGGUGGGGUAGUGGCUUACCAAGGCUUUGACGGGUAGCCGGCCUGAGAGGGUGACCGGCCACAUUGGGACUGAGAUACGGCCCAGACUCCUACGGGAGGCAGCAGUGGGGAAUAUUGCACAAUGGGCGGAAGCCUGAUGCAGCAACGCCGCGUGCGGGAUGACGGCCUUCGGGUUGUAAACCGCUUUCGCCUAUGACGAAGCGUGAGUGACGGUAAUGGGUAAAGAAGCACCGGCUAACUACGUG
This 468-nucleotide ribosomal RNA is filed under the name uncultured bacterium. RNAcentral's name for it is "partial 16S ribosomal RNA". It matches the Rfam family "Bacterial small subunit ribosomal RNA", at positions 28 to 507 of the family's 1533-position model. The record is from RNAcentral.